This 440-nucleotide ribosomal RNA is filed under the name uncultured bacterium. RNAcentral's name for it is "partial 16S ribosomal RNA". It matches the Rfam family "Bacterial small subunit ribosomal RNA", at positions 339 to 795 of the family's 1533-position model. The record is from RNAcentral.
CUACGGGCCGCAGCAGUGGGGAAUAUUGGACAAUGGGGGAAACCCUGAUCCAGCGAUGUCGCGUGAGUGAGGAAGGCCUUCGGGUUGUAAAACUCUUUUAUAGGUGAAGAUGAUGACGGUAACCUAUGAAUAAGCUCCGGCUAACUUCGUGCCAGCAGCCGCGGUAAUACGAAGGGAGCAAGCGUUGUUCGGAAUAACUGGGCGUAAAGGGCGCGUAGGCGGUCUAAUAAGUUUGGGUGUGAAAGCCCUGGGCUCAACCUGGGAAUAGCAUUGAAUACUGUUAGGCUAGAGGAUUGAAGGGGAUGAUGGAAUUAUGCAUGGAGAGGUGGAAUUCAUAGAUAUGCAUAGGAACACCGGUGGCGAAGGCGAUCAUCUGGGCAAUUACUGACGCUGAGGCGCGAAAGCGUGGGGAGCAAACAGGAUUAGAUACCCCAGUAGUC